AGUGUUUGGUAAGGAAAGAAGAAAGAAAAAGAAAGAGAUGGUAAUAAUAA
Molecule: small RNA, 50 nt
Filed under: Arabidopsis thaliana (thale cress)
Lineage: Eukaryota; Viridiplantae; Streptophyta; Magnoliopsida; Brassicales; Brassicaceae
Description: ATSL145600
Source: RNAcentral